This 214-nucleotide ribosomal RNA is filed under the name uncultured bacterium. RNAcentral's name for it is "partial 16S ribosomal RNA". It matches the Rfam family "Bacterial small subunit ribosomal RNA", at positions 120 to 334 of the family's 1533-position model. The record is from RNAcentral.
UCCAACCUGCCGUCUACUCUUGGACAGCCUUCUGAAAGGAAGAUUAAUACAAGAUGGCAUCAUGAGUUCGCAUGUUCACAUGAUUAAAGGUAUUCCGGUAGACGAUGGGGAUGCGUUCCAUUAGAUAGUAGGCGGGGUAACGGCCCACCUAGUCUUCGAUGGAUAGGGGUUCUGAGAGGAAGGUCCCCCACAUUGGAACUGAGACACGGUCCAA